Molecule: ribosomal RNA, 314 nt
Filed under: Nanhermannia coronata
Lineage: Eukaryota; Metazoa; Arthropoda; Arachnida; Sarcoptiformes; Nanhermanniidae
Also listed under: 1 other name
Description: eukaryotic LSU rRNA
Rfam family: Eukaryotic large subunit ribosomal RNA
Source: RNAcentral
CCAAGGAGUCUAACAUGUGCGCGAGUCACUCGGUCUUGAAUAGGCCAGAGAGGCGCAAUGAAAGUAAAGUUGAUUGAGUUACGAUCCCCAUGCAGUCACUCGUAUGGGUGACGGUGGGGCGCAGUAACAGCCCGCCAAUUUCGCUUAUUGACGAUAUGGCGGAGUUGUAGCGUACACGUUGGUACCCGAAAGAUGGUGAACUAUGCCUGGGCAAGACGAAGCCAGAGGAAACUCUGGUGGAGGUCUGUAGCGAUUCUGACGUGCAAAUCGAUCGUCAGACCUGGGUAUAGGGGCGAAAGACUAAUCGAACCAUC